CACGUAGGGCGCAAGCGUUGUCCGGAAUUAUUGGGCGUAAAGAGCUCGUAGGCGGUCUGUUGCGUCCGCUGUGAAAACUCGGGGCUUAACCCCGAGCCUGCAGUGGAUACGGGCAGACUAGAGGUAGGUAGGGGAGAAUGGAAUUCCCGGUGUAGCGGUGAAAUGCGCAGAUAUCGGGAGGAACACCGGUGGCGAAGGCGGUUCUCUGGGCCUUUCCUGACGCUGAGGAGCGAAAGCGUGGGGAGCGAACAGG
RNAcentral lists this ribosomal RNA (253 nucleotides) under uncultured bacterium. Its description in RNAcentral is "partial 16S ribosomal RNA". It matches the Rfam family "Bacterial small subunit ribosomal RNA", at positions 524 to 776 of the family's 1533-position model. The record is from RNAcentral.